RNAcentral lists this long non-coding RNA (235 nucleotides) under Elaeis guineensis (African oil palm). RNAcentral's name for it is "long non-coding RNA (EGUI_LNC049550)". The record is from RNAcentral. Lineage: Eukaryota; Viridiplantae; Streptophyta; Magnoliopsida; Arecales; Arecaceae.
UGGGCAAAUAAGUUUGGCAUUAUGCAAUAGCGUUUAAUUCCUAUAUCACAAAAAGAGAAUUAUUUCAAAGAUAAUAGGCAAUCAAAACUCCAAGUAGUUGAGAUGGAAUGCAUAUAUCUCCAUGAUUUGGGAUGAAUCAUAAGAUGUGUGCAUAGGCAACCUACAGUACGACAGGAACUACAUUUAGCUAAAGCAAUAGGCGUGUACAAAUGCAUAAUAAUAUUCAUUGUUGAUG